This 2003-nucleotide ribosomal RNA is filed under the name human gut metagenome. RNAcentral's name for it is "bacterial LSU rRNA". It matches the Rfam family "Bacterial large subunit ribosomal RNA", at positions 904 to 2925 of the family's 2925-position model. The record is from RNAcentral.
AGAGCACUGAAUGGUCUAGGGGGCCUCACCGCCUACCGAAACCUAUCAAACUGCGAAUGCCGGAUAAAUGAUGUGCGGGAGUCAGGCCGCGAGAGAUAAGUUCCGCGGUCAAAAGGGGAACACCCCAGAUCGUCUGCUAAGGUCCCCAAGUACGCGUUAAGUGGGAAAGGAUGUUGGAUUGCACAGACAACCAGGAUGUUGGCUUAGAAGCAGCCACACAUUCAAAGAGUGCGUAAUAGCUCACUGGUCGAGUGAUCCAGCGCCGAAAAUGUAACGGGGCUAAAACGCGACACCGAAGCAGCGGGAUGCGUAAGCAUCGGUAGAGGAGCAUUGUGUGAGGAUUGAAGCCAGAGCGGGAGCACUGGUGGACUUCACAGAAGAGAGAAUGCCGGUAUGAGUAGCGAGACCCAUGCGAGAAACAUGGGCGUCGAAGGCCCAAGGUUUCCUGGGGAAGGUUCAUCCACCCAGGGUAAGUCGGGACCUAAGCCGAGGACUGAGGUCGUAGGCGAUGGACAGCAGGUAGAGAUUCCUGCACCACUUACACUUGUUUGACGAAGCAGUGACACAGAAGGAUAGGACGAGCGCGGUGAUGGUCAACCGCGUAGGCGGCACGAGGCUGGGGAGCAGUUAAGUACACUUCCCAAGAAGGCUGAGUGCUGACAGGACCGAAAAAGAGUAGGGAAGCGUCUGAGUUCACGCUGGCGAGAAAAGCUGCUAAGGAGAGUGUGAGUGCCCGUACCGGAAACCGACGCAGGUGGGCGAGGAGAGAAUCCUGAGACGGACGGGAGAACUCUUGUUAAGGAACUCGGCAAAAUGACCCCGUAACUUCGGGAGAAGGGGUGCCUCGAAAGAGGCCGCAGAGAAUAGUCACAAGCGACUGUUUAGCAAAAACACAGGUAUCUGCGAAAGCGAGAGCUGACGUAUAGGUGCUGACGCCUGCCCGGUGCUGGAAGGUUAAGGGGAAGUGUUAGGGGAAACCCGAAGCAGAGAACCGAAGCCCCAGUAAACGGCGGCCGUAACUAUAACGGUCCUAAGGUAGCGAAAUUCCUUGUCGGGUAAGUUCCGACCCGCACGAAUGGCGUAACGACUUGUGAGCUGUCUCAACAGGAGGCCCGGUGAAAUUGAAGUAUGUGUGAAGAUGCACAUUACCCGCGACUGGACGGAAAGACCCCGUAGAGCUUUACUGUAACCUGACAUUGGAUCUUGAUAACGGAUGCACAGGAUAGGUGGGACGCAGAGAGACGAGGACUUCGGUUUUCGUGGAGCGGCCGUUGGGAUACCACUCUUCUGUUAUUGAGAUUCUAACCUCAAGCCGUAAGCCGGAUGAGAGACAGUGUCAGGCGGACAGUUUGACUGGGGCGGUCGCCUCCGAAAGAGUAACGGAGGCGCCCAAAGGUACCCUCAGAAUGGAUGGAAACCAUUCGAAGAGAGCAAAGUCAGAAGGGUGCUUGACUGCGAGACCAACAAGUCGAGCAGGUACGAAAGUAGGGCUUAGUGAUCCGGCGGUAAGAGAGUGGAAUUGCCGUCGCUCAACGGAUAAAAGCUACCUCGGGGAUAACAGGCUGAUCUCCCCCAAGAGUCCACAUCGACGGGGAGGUUUGGCACCUCGAUGUCGGCUCAUCGCAUCCUGGGGCUGAAUUCGGUCCCAAGGGUUUGGCUGUUCGCCAAUUAAAGCGGCACGCGAGCUGGGUUCAGAACGUCGUGAGACAGUUCGGUCCCUAUCCAUCGUGGGCGAAGGACACAUGAGAGGAGCUGCUCCUAGUACGAGAGGACCGGAGUGGACGCAUCACUGGUGCAACUGUUGUCGUGCCAACGGCACAGCAGGGAAGCGAAAUGCGGAUGGGAUAAACGCUGAAGGCAUCUAAGCGUGAAGCCCACCUCAAGAAUAAGUGUCCCAUUCGAAAGAAGUAAGACCCCUGGAAGACUACCAGGUGAUAGGUCAUCGGUGAAAGAGUGGUAACAUUUGGAGCUUGAUGAUACUAAUCGGUCGAGGACUUGAUCUA